This 520-nucleotide ribosomal RNA is filed under the name uncultured Glomus. Its description in RNAcentral is "SSU rRNA". It matches the Rfam family "Eukaryotic small subunit ribosomal RNA", at positions 569 to 1094 of the family's 1831-position model. The record is from RNAcentral. Lineage: Eukaryota; Fungi; Glomeromycota; Glomeromycetes; Glomerales; Glomeraceae.
AGCAGCCGCGGUAAUUCCAGCUCCAAUAGCGUAUAUUAAAGUUGUUGCAGUUAAAAAGCUCGUAGUUGAAUUUCGGGACUAAUAUGUCGGUCGUGCCUCGGUACGAACUGGUUUAUUGGUUUCUCCUUUCUGAAGAACCAUGAUGUCAUUUAUUUGGUGUCGUGGGGAAUCAGGACUGUUACUUUGAAAAAUUAGAGUGUUUAAAGCAGGCUCACGCUUGAAUACAUUAGCAUGGAAUAAUGAAAUAGGACGUUUGAUUCUAUUUUGUUGGUUUCUAGGAUCGACGUAAUGAUUAAUAGGGAUAGUUGGGGGCAUUAGUAUUCAAUUGUCAGAGGUGAAAUUCUUGGAUUUAUUGAAGACUAACUACUGCGAAAGCAUUUGCCAAGGAUGUUUUCAUUAAUCAAGAACGAAAGUUAGGGGAUCGAAGACGAUCGGAUACCGUCGUAGUCUUAACCAUAAACUAUGCCGACUAGGGAUCGGAUGAUGUUAAUUUUUAAUGACUCAUUCGGCGCCUUACGGG